Molecule: ribosomal RNA, 372 nt
Filed under: uncultured organism
Description: bacterial SSU rRNA
Rfam family: Bacterial small subunit ribosomal RNA
Source: RNAcentral
CGUAGGUGGCAAGCGUUAUCCGGAUUUACUGGGCGUAAAGGGUGUGCAGGCGGGUUUGCAAGUGGUGUAUGAAAUCUCCCGGCUUAACCGGGAGGGGUUAUGCCAGACUGCAAAUCUAGAGGACGAGAGAGGGGGGUGGAAUUCCGGGUGUAGUGGUGAAAUGCGUAGAGAUCCGGAGGAACCCCAGAGGCGAAGGCGGCCCCCUGGCUCGUACCUGACGCUCAGCCACGAAAGCAUGGGGAGCGAACGGGAUUAGAAACCCCGGUAGUCCAUGCCGUAAACGAUGCAAACUAGGCGCUGACGGUCUCAACCCCGCCGGUGCCGCAGCUAACGCGAUAAGUUUGCCGCCUGGGGAGUACGGUCGCAAGGCUA